UCUGGAAGGAUAGUGGCAAACGGGUGAGUAACGCGUAAGCAACCUGCCCUUAAGUAGGGAAUAACUCCGAGAAAUUGGAGCUAAUACCUUAUGUGGUGGUGGGGGUAAUGCUCCAUCAUUAAAGCCUUCGGGCGCUUAGGGAGGGGCUUGUGUCCGAUUAGCUAGUUGGUAGAGUAACGGUUUACCAAGGCGAUGAUCGGUAGCUGGUUUGAGAGGACGGCCAGCCACACUGGGACUUAGACACGGCCCAGACUCCUACGGGAGGCAGCAGCAAGGAAUUUUGUGCAAUGGGCGAAAGCCUGACACAGCGACGCCGCGUGGGGGAUGAAGGUCUUCGGGCUGUAAACCCCUUUUCUCAGGGAAGAAUAAUGACGGUACCUGAGGAAUAAGCCUCGGCUAACUACGUGCCAGCAGCCGCGGUAAUACGUAGGAGGCAAGCGUUAUCCGGAUUUACUGGGCGUAAAGAGGGCGCGGGCGGUCUUUCAAGUCAAAUGUAAAAUCUCCCGGCUCAACCGGGAGGGAUCACUUGAUACUGUUAGGCUAGAGGGCAGCAGGAGGAGGUGGAAUUCUCGGUGUAGUGGUGAAAUGCGUAGAUAUCGGGAGGAACACCAGUGGCGAAAGCGGCCUCCUANGCUGUUUCUGACGCUGANGCCCAAAAGCGUGGGGAGCAAACAGGAUUAGAUACCCUGNUAGUCCACGCCGUCAACUAUGGACACUAGNUAUGGGGAGUAUCGACCCUCUCUGUGCCGAAGCUAACGCUUUAAGUGUCCCGCCUGGGGAGUACGGCCGCAAGGCUAAAACUCAAAGGAAUUGACGGGGGUCCGCACAAGCAGCGGAGCGUGUGGUUUAAUUCGAUGCAACACGCAGAACCUUACCAAGGCUUGACAUGACGGAAGUAGCAACCCGAAAGGGAAGCCACCUGUUAAAUCAGGAGCCGCCACAGGUGCUGCAUGGCUGUCGUCAGCUCGUGCCGUGAGGUGUUUGGUUAAGUCCUGUAACGAGCGCAACCCUCACCUUUAGUUGCCAGCAUUAAGUUGGGCACUCUAAAGGGACUGCUGGUGUUAAACCGGA
Molecule: ribosomal RNA, 1071 nt
Filed under: uncultured bacterium
Lineage: Bacteria
Description: bacterial SSU rRNA
Rfam family: Bacterial small subunit ribosomal RNA
Source: RNAcentral